RNAcentral lists this ribosomal RNA (478 nucleotides) under uncultured bacterium. RNAcentral's name for it is "partial 16S ribosomal RNA". It matches the Rfam family "Bacterial small subunit ribosomal RNA", at positions 28 to 507 of the family's 1533-position model. The record is from RNAcentral.
GACGAACGCUGGCGGCGUGCUUAACACAUGCAAGUCGAACGGGAUUUAGUAGACAGAAGCCUCGGCUAAAGAUUACUAAUGAGAGUGGCGAACGGGUGAGUAACGCGUGAGCAACCUGCCUAUGACAGUGGGAUAGCCUCGGGAAACCGGGAUUAAUACCGCAUAAAAUCGUAGAAACACAUGUUUUAACGGUCAAAGAUUUAUCGGUCAUAGAUGGGCUCGCGUCUGAUUAGCUAGUUGGUGAGAUAACAGCCCACCAAGGCGACGAUCAGUAGCCGGUCUGAGAGGAUGAACGGCCACAUUGGAACUGAGACACGGUCCAAACUCCUACGGGAAGCAGCAGUGGGGAAUAUUGCACAAUGGGGGAAACCCUGAUGCAGCGACGCCGCGUGAACGAAGAAGGUAUUCGUAUCGUAAAGUUCUGUCCUAUGGGAAGAUAAUGACAGUACCAUAGAAGAAAGCGCCGGCUAAAUACGUG